GACGAACGCUGGCGGCGUGCCUAAUACAUGCAAGUCGAACGGUCUUUUCUAUGGAAGCUUGCUUCCACUGAGAAGAUAGUGGCGAACGGGUGAGUAACACGUGGGUAACCUGCCCAUAAGAGGGGGAUAACAUCCGGAAACGGGUGCUAAUACCGCAUAGUUUUCUUGAUCGCAUGAUUGAGAAAGGAAAGACGGCCUUUGCGCUGUCGCUUAUGGAUGGACCCGCGGCGUAUUAGUUAGUUGGUGAGGUAACGGCUCACCAAGACGAUGAUACGUAGCCGACCUGAGAGGGUGAUCGGCCACAUUGGGACUGAGACACGGCCCAAACUCCUACGGGAGGCAGCAGUAGGGAAUCUUCCGCAAUGGACGAAAGUCUGACGGAGCAACGCCGCGUGAGUGAAGAAGGUUUUCGGAUCGUAAAACUCUGUUGGAUGGGAACAAUAACUCCGACUUGUCGGAACUUGAGGGUACCAUCAGAAUAAGCACCGGCUAACUCCGUGCCAGCAGCCGACGG
Molecule: ribosomal RNA, 514 nt
Filed under: uncultured bacterium
Lineage: Bacteria
Description: bacterial SSU rRNA
Rfam family: Bacterial small subunit ribosomal RNA
Source: RNAcentral